AGAUUAAGUUAUUAAGGGCGCACGGUGGAUGCCUUGGCACUAGAAGCCGAUGAAGGACGUUACUAACGACGAUAUGCUUUGGGGAGCUGUAAGUAAGCUUUGAUCCAGAGAUUUCCGAAUGGGGAAACCCAGCAUGAGUUAUGUCAUGUUAUCGAUAUGUGAAUACAUAGCAUAUCAGAAGGCACACCCGGAGAACUGAAACAUCUUAGUACCCGGAGGAAGAGAAAGAAAAUUCGAUUCCCUUAGUAGCGGCGAGCGAAACGGGAAGAGCCCAAACCAACAAGCUUGCUUGUUGGGGUUGUAGGACACUCUAUACGGAGUUACAAAGGACGACAUUAGACGAAUCAUCUGGAAAGAUGAAUCAAAGAAGGUAAUAAUCCUGUAGUCGAAAAUGUUGUCUCUCUUGAGUGGAUCCUGAGUACGACGGAGCACGUGAAAUUCCGUCGGAAUCUGGGAGGACCAUCUCCUAAGGCUAAAUACUCUCUAGUGACCGAUAGCGAACCAGUACCGUGAGGGAAAGGUGAAAAGCACCCCGGAAGGGGAGUGAAAUAGAACCUGAAACCGUGUGCUUACAAGUAGUCAGAGCCCGUUAAUGGGUGAUGGCGUGCCUUUUGUAGAAUGAACCGGCGAGUUACGAUUUGAUGCAAGGUUAAGCAGUAAAUGUGGAGCCGUAGCGAAAGCGAGUCUGAAUAGGGCGUUUAGUAUUUGGUCGUAGACCCGAAACCAGGUGAUCUACCCUUGGUCAGGUUGAAGUUCAGGUAACACUGAAUGGAGGACCGAACCGACUUACGUUGAAAAGUGAGCGGAUGAACUGAGGGUAGCGGAGAAAUUCCAAUCGAACCUGGAGAUAGCUGGUUCUCUCCGAAAUAGCUUUAGGGCUAGCCUCAAGUGAUGAUUAUUGGAGGUAGAGCACUGUUUGGACGAGGGGCCCCUCUCGGGUUACCGAAUUCAGACAAACUCCGAAUGCCAAUUAAUUUAACUUGGGAGUCAGAACAUGGGUGAUAAGGUCCGUGUUCGAAAGGGAAACAGCCCAGACCACCAGCUAAGGUCCCAAAAUAUAUGUUAAGUGGAAAAGGAUGUGGCGUUGCCCAGACAACUAGGAUGUUGGCUUAGAAGCAGCCAUCAUUUAAAGAGUGCGUAAUAGCUCACUAGUCGAGUGACACUGCGCCGAAAAUGUACCGGGGCUAAACAUAUUACCGAAGCUGUGGAUUGUCCUUUGGACAAUGGUAGGAGAGCGUUCUAAGGGCGUUGAAGCAUGAUCGUAAGGACAUGUGGAGCGCUUAGAAGUGAGAAUGCCGGUGUGAGUAGCGAAAGACGGGUGAGAAUCCCGUCCACCGAUUGACUAAGGUUUCCAGAGGAAGGCUCGUCCGCUCUGGGUUAGUCGGGUCCUAAGCUGAGGCCGACAGGCGUAGGCGAUGGAUAACAGGUUGAUAUUCCUGUACCACCUAUAAUCGUUUUAAUCGAUGGGGGGACGCAGUAGGAUAGGCGAAGCGUGCGAUUGGAUUGCACGUCUAAGCAGUAAGGCUGAGUAUUAGGCAAAUCCGGUACUCAUUAAGGCUGAGCUGUGAUGGGGAGAAGACAUUGUGUCUUCGAGUCGUUGAUUUCACACUGCCGAGAAAAGCCUCUAGAUAGAAAAUAGGUGCCCGUACCGCAAACCGACACAGGUAGUCAAGAUGAGAAUUCUAAGGUGAGCGAGCGAACUCUCGUUAAGGAACUCGGCAAAAUGACCCCGUAACUUCGGGAGAAGGGGUGCUCUUUAGGGUUAACGCCCAGAAGAGCCGCAGUGAAUAGGCCCAAGCGACUGUUUAUCAAAAACACAGGUCUCUGCUAAACCGUAAGGUGAUGUAUAGGGGCUGACGCCUGCCCGGUGCUGGAAGGUUAAGAGGAGUGGUUAGCUUCUGCGAAGCUACGAAUCGAAGCCCCAGUAAACGGCGGCCGUAACUAUAACGGUCCUAAGGUAGCGAAAUUCCUUGUCGGGUAAGUUCCGACCCGCACGAAAGGCGUAACGAUUUGGGCACUGUCUCAACGAGAGACUCGGUGAAAUCAUAGUACCUGUGAAGAUGCAGGUUACCCGCGACAGGACGGAAAGACCCCGUGGAGCUUUACUGUAGCCUGAUAUUGAAAUUCGGCACAGCUUGUACAGGAUAGGUAGGAGCCUUUGAAACGUGAGCGCUAGCUUACGUGGAGGCGCUGGUGGGAUACUACCCUAGCUGUGUUGGCUUUCUAACCCGCACCACUUAUCGUGGUGGGAGACAGUGUCAGGCGGGCAGUUUGACUGGGGCGGUCGCCUCCUAAAAGGUAACGGAGGCGCUCAAAGGUUCCCUCAGAAUGGUUGGAAAUCAUUCAUAGAGUGUAAAGGCAUAAGGGAGCUUGACUGCGAGACCUACAAGUCGAGCAGGGUCGAAAGACGGACUUAGUGAUCCGGUGGUUCCGCAUGGAAGGGCCAUCGCUCAACGGAUAAAAGCUACCCCGGGGAUAACAGGCUUAUCUCCCCCAAGAGUUCACAUCGACGGGGAGGUUUGGCACCUCGAUGUCGGCUCAUCGCAUCCUGGGGCUGUAGUCGGUCCCAAGGGUUGGGCUGUUCGCCCAUUAAAGCGGUACGCGAGCUGGGUUCAGAACGUCGUGAGACAGUUCGGUCCCUAUCCGUCGUGGGCGUAGGAAAUUUGAGAGGAGCUGUCCUUAGUACGAGAGGACCGGGAUGGACAUACCUCUGGUGUACCAGUUGUCGUGCCAACGGCAUAGCUGGGUAGCUAUGUGUGGACGGGAUAAGUGCUGAAAGCAUCUAAGCAUGAAGCCCCCCUCAAGAUGAGAUUUCCCAACUUCGGUUAUAAGAUCCCUCAAAGAUGAUGAGGUUAAUAGGUUCGAGGUGGAAGCAUGGUGACAUGUGGAGCUGACGAAUACUAAUCGAUCGAAGACUUAAUCAAAUU
RNAcentral lists this ribosomal RNA (2927 nucleotides) under Staphylococcus aureus. RNAcentral's name for it is "bacterial LSU rRNA". It matches the Rfam family "Bacterial large subunit ribosomal RNA". The record is from RNAcentral. Lineage: Bacteria; Bacillati; Bacillota; Bacilli; Caryophanales; Staphylococcaceae.